RNAcentral lists this long non-coding RNA (15340 nucleotides) under Coffea arabica (coffee). Its description in RNAcentral is "long non-coding RNA (CARA_LNC006393)". The record is from RNAcentral. Lineage: Eukaryota; Viridiplantae; Streptophyta; Magnoliopsida; Gentianales; Rubiaceae.
GAAGCUUUUGGUUGGUGGUUGUUUUGGGUGACUUAAUCAACUUGUAAGAGAGGUAUGUGAUCUUUAAUCCUUGCUUUUAUGGUGUUAUAUUAAGUAUUUAAAGGUUUGAGGGUAAACUAGAAGUUGUAUGGAUGCUUCCUAUGGCUAAAUCUCUUGAAUUAGUGAAGUGGUAGUUGGGUUGGUUAAGUGGCCUACCAUGUGUUUGAUUAAUUGUUAAAGUUUUGAUUCAUGGUUUUAGAUAGAGUUAACACUUGGUAUGUCGGUUAAGAGGAAAACACUGAAAGGAUGAAGCAAGAAAAGUAGUGGUAUGCACUAAUAGCCCAAAUUUCAGAUUUCUGAAAAUUCAAACUUCAGUUCUGCCCGGUUCCAGUUCUUGAUGUUACAGGCUGAAUUAGGCUUAGCACAAAACAUAAAAGUUGUAGAGAAUGAUAUUUUCUAGUUGGCUACAAAAUUUCAGCCAAAUCAGAGCAAUGUAGCCUGUGAAAAAACCGAAAUACCCUUGCUUCCCUGUUUCUGUCCGAAACUGAUAAUCAGCUUCUGUAAUUGGUUAGUUUGACCGGGAAUACUACUGAUUUGGUUAUCGAAGUCUUCUUAAGAAUUAUAGCCUUGUAUCUUAGCUUUCAAAUGGCUUUAUAUUACCUGAAUCGGAGUUGUGUGUGCUGAGAUAUGCUUGAAUGAAUCAGGACUGCUAGUGGAAUUUCACAGUGAGCUUUGAACUGGAAAAUCUGGAGUUGUUUUGGUACCUUUGACCUAGUUAGGAUGAGAACUAGACUAAGUGGUUUUCAUCAAAGUUAUAGCCCUCUGUCUUAGUUUCGAAACGGUAUAACUUGUGCUUCAAUCUAAUAAGCGUAGUUUCGGUUAGGUCCAAUACGCUAAGUAGCGGUGAAUCUGCUUUUUUGGUUUCCUAGCUUAAAGCUCAUUUCCGGUCAUUUUCCUAGCUAAAUCUUGUACUUGAAUGACUUUGAGCCUAUUGAACGGCUGUUGUGAUGAAUUUAUAUUGCGUAUAACUUUGGGAUUGAUUGAGGGAAAUAAUGAAGCCAUAAGUGGUUGGAAAAGUAGGUAAAUACAGAGGGCAUGUGUGACGCCCCGCGGCAGAAGAAAAGGGGAAAAAUUUCUGGUGAAUAGUGUUUUGUGGAGAAUCCGGCCAGAAGCCGUGCAAAUUCUUUAUAUUUUUCUUAAAAAUUCCCUUUUCUUUGACAAAUAUCACUUUAUAAUGGCCCUACUACUCAAUCACCCCACAAUAAGUGCCAAUGAACCUGGAAAGUAGGGUUUCACUUUUAGUUUCAAGAUUGGAGCAAAAUUAGGGUUUACGCGAUUUUCGCCGGAUGAAUUUUCGGUACGAAGCAAGGAUCAAAUUUGGUGAUCAAAAAUGACUUUUAAGUGAGAAAUAAUAUGUGAUUAGUAGCAAUGAUAUAAGGUUAGUGAAUGGGAAGUAAAAACCCUAAUACGUGUGUUUUUAAGAAAAACGGCGCGAACCGGCGGGUCCCGCGCACUACCGGUUGAACGCACCACUUGACCACCACUUUCUUACCAUACAAGCUUAUUGACUUUUGAGCAAAAUAUCUUCUUGUUUGGCAGCUGCUUUGACCGAAAAUUUGAGGCUAGAAAAUAGCAAGGAAGAAAGAGAAAAAUGAAAGGUGGUGGUGGCGACACUUGUCGCCACCCUAAAGUUUCUUGGCCAAGUGAUUAACUAGCCUUCUUAAACCAAUUUUCUGCACUUUCCUCUUCAUUUUUCCAGCAGCUGGUCGACCAAGAGGGAGAGAGAAAGUGAGAGCAAGAAACAAUUCCUUCUUCUUGAUUCUAACCAACCAAGUGACAAAUUAAAUUUCUAAACCGAUUAAACUUACCUUUGAGUGAUUAGUUAGUGAUUGUUGAUGAAAUUUUGGAAAGAGAAAGCUUGGGCUACACUUGGUGAACUCUAAUCAAGGUAAGGAAGAUGAUAUCUCUAAAUUUUACUUUCAAUCUUGUUUAAAUUAAGCUUAGUAACUUGAUUUGUGGUGGAAUCAUGGAUGCUAUCAUGUUUUGGAAGUUUUUCCCUUUUUAUAUGAUGAACUAGGGUUUGAGGAAUUUCUGCCCAAUUUGGUGUAUGAUGCAUAUAUGUUGUAAUUAAGUUUAUAGAAGGGGUUUUGGUAGUGAUUGAAGUGAGAAAUUAAGGAAGAUUGCAUUAAAAACUAAAAAUUCCAGAUUUCUGGAAAUUCUUGCUUCCAUUCUGUCCGGUUUUGUAACUGUAUGUUGGAGGCCGAAUUGGCCUUAGGUCAAAGAAUAAAAGUUGUAUAGAAUGGUAUUUUAUAGGUGCUUACAAAAUUUCAGCUCAAUCGGAUCAACAUAGGUCAUGAAAAGUCCAAAAUACCCUUACUGUUUUAUGUUUUUCCCCAGCAGUCCGUGUGAUCCGUUUGUCCAGUUUAUCACGUUUUUUGACUGGGAUUCGUACUGAUUUAGCUUUUUACUAAAACAUGAAAGUUGUAGUAUUCCGACUUAGCUUUCAAAUUCCCCUAAGAACACCUGAUUCGGACUUUUGUACUCUGAGAUAUGACCAUUACAGGGUAAUGCGGUUAUAUAGCCGACGAAUUGGUUUCUGGUUUAGUAAUUUGAGGAUUUGACUAAGUUACAUUAGGAACUGGACUAAGUGACCUUCAUGAACAUUGUAGCUCUGUGUCUUAGCUUCGAAACGGCAUAGGUUACGCCUCAAUCCGAUAAGCGUAGCCUCGGAUAUGUUAUUUCCGCAUUCGUACGUCAAAUCUAUCUUGUGCUAAGUUGAAUUUCUGCACUUGUGAUUGUUGUGAAUCUUGUUUUUAUGAUAUUGUGAGCCUAUGGAAUGGCUCUUGGCUUGAAUUGUUUAUAUGUGUGAUGUUGGGUUGUGGUUGAAGAAAAAUAAUGAAGCCUAAAUGGCUGGAAAUUAGGUAAACACAAAGGGCAUGCUGUCCGAAUUGACACUCGAGGACUAGGAAAUGAGACUUGUAACUUGUGUAAAGGUUAAGUGAUUAUUACUUGAACUAGCAAGCACCUUUGCUACUUUGUUUAUCGAGGGUUAUACAUUAGGACUUGGCCGAACUUGCACCCUUGAGGAAAAGACAUAAUGGCCAAUGUAAACUUGUAUUUCCUUGUACUUUCAACUCAAGUGUUAUUUCCAAGUAUCCAUACUACAAAACCUUAUGAUUUGAAAAGCGAGCAAGUGUUUCACGAAUGCCUUUCAAAUGAAUUUCAAUUGGUUGAUUCUUAAUGAACGGAACGUUUAAGUUUCGAAUCUUACUCGUGUUUCAAAUUCUCAAAUUGGAUUUUUAUCGCAGAGCUGGACUUCAAACCUGGAGUAUAGUUGAACGUGAAUACUUGAAGCACUAUAUUUUGUGUGAGUGAUCCCUCGACUGUUCCCAAAGUUACUUUGAACUAAUUCUUGCAUUUAUUACUCCAUUGCAUAUCAUUUGGGGUUCGGGUGUGUGCCAUGACAUAAUUUGGCUCCAAUGAGUUCUUGGAAAGUCUUGUGCUUAGAACCAAUGUCUCAACUAUUGUUUACACAUUCUUUGGAGCCCGAUGGCUCCUUACCUCUGUUUCACAGUUACCUGAUCUAAACGAGCGUUGGAUAUUUAAGUACAAGAACUUCACUGGCUCACAUGAGCAAUAAAUGAACAUUUGAUUACUGCAUCAUGACAUCAUAUCAAUGCUUUAUUGUGAAACAUACUUGGCUGCUGAUUUUACUGGUCACUCGCUGAGCUUUUAGCUCACCCCCUAUUAUCUUCUUCUCCCCACAAGGAUCGAGGUAAAGGAAGAACUUGUAUUUGGAUCUUUGUGUGGCUGGAUGGCGUACAUCUUGUAUAGUUUAGAUUUGGUUUUGGUUUAUGUACCUUUGGGCCUGUAUAAAUAUUUGAAAUUGAAUCGAAUGUAUAUCUACAUUCUACGCUUAGAACUAGUUUCCGCUUCGCUUAUGAUAUGUAAAUUUGGAGAAUUGGAUGUAUUAUUUGAGUUGUACCUUGUAAUUUACUUGAGGAAUGUAGUAAGUGAGUGAGUCCCGGCGAGAGCUGGGCAGGCGGCCCGCCAAACCCUCUGGUACGCCUUAGGGGGAGGUGGGGUCGUCACAAAUGGUAUCAGAGCUUAGGCUUCAGAUCUUUGUAGUGUAUCCUAGGCUUAAAGUUUAGGAUGCCGGACUGUGGGAUUGGUUUGUACGUUCAGUGCUCUUUUGGAGCGUCAGUUGUGAAUCUUGAAAAUGGUACGGGUAAGAUAUGAUUUGGUUGAAUUACGCUUGAGAGCGUACGACCUGAGCUGUACAAUUUCUUAGUUUUGAAUUCUUGGCUAGGGUUUUGAUAGAUUAUGGUGGUGGCUGGAAUUGUUGAGAAAAGUUUUGGUUUAUAUUUUUCUUCUAUUUUUCCUGUUUGAUUAAGGUUACACCACCCGACUGGUAAAUGUUAAGAUUUGAGAUAUUUGAACUGUCUAAGACCGACUAGACUGAGCUCAUUUGAGACUUGAAUUUGAAUCGGCUAGUGUACCCUUACAUACACUUGAUAGACCUGACCUAACUGAAAAUAGGGUAUCUCUUUUACUCUUGAGUAAGUAUCUUGAUUCAUAUAUGAUCUGUAUGUGGAUUUGAGUUUGAUGACUGCUUGAGAGUGUGAAUUACUGGGCAUAAGCUAGGCAAGUGAGUUCCUACUCGUAUUCAUGUUCUUUGAAUCUGAAAUAAUUGACCCUGCUUUUGAACCGAUAUACUUGAACCCUGUUUUUGACUCUGUUUCUGAACAUUUUCGUACUUGUUUGGUUGUAGACCGGCUACUACUCCUCUGUAGCGGUUGAACUGAACCUCUCUGAUGAGGUAUUGCCUGUUGUGUUACCAAGCACCGCCAUUCUCCUAGCGAGGCAUACCUGUUGUGUUUCCAAGCACUAUCAGGGAUGAAAUUCUUGAACUGAACCUCUCUGAUGAGGUAUUGCCUGUUGUGUUACCAAGCACCGCCAUUCUUUUGGCGAGGCAUACCUGUUGUGUUUCCAAGCACCAUCAGGGAUGAAACUUUGACUUGAAGCUCUCUGGUGAAGUUUAGCCGUUGUGCUAACUUGUUGUGUUUCCAAGCACCACCAGGGUCAAUUUCUUGAGCUAAGAUCCUCUGGUGAAGUUUAGCCGUUGUGCUAACUUGUUGUGUUUCCAAGCACCACCAAGGAUGAAAUUUUGAACUGAGGUUCUCUGGCGAGGUAUAGCCGUUGUGCUAACCUGUUGUGUUGUCCAGCACCGCCAUAGACAAAAUCUUGCAUCUGAGGCUCUGGUGAAGUUUAGCCGUAGUGCUAGCUUGUUGUAUUUUCAAGCACCACCGGGGACAAACUCCUGAGACUUUCUGGUGAAGUAUAGCUGAGUGCUAGCUUGUUGUGUUUUCAAGCACCAUCAGGGGUAAUUUCUAAUCUGAGACAUCGUUAUGUUCUGGAUUGUUUUUCCAAAUAUCAGGGACUUUAAGUCCGAUUUCGAGCCUUUUGUAUAUGUAUCCAGUUACUCGUCUGACUAUUUAUUGGAUCAAAGAUUAUUUGAUAAGUUGGAUUGGAGUACUUUUAGUACUUGAUUGUGAUGAGUGAUUCUUAGUAUGUGAUUAACCAUUGAGAUAUUUGAUCUGAUUAGUAUUUGAUUAUGAUAAGCAAGAUUGACAUGAUUCUUAAUGCGUGAUCGACUUUCGAGAACUAUUUUGAUCUGAUUAGUACAAGUUGAAAUGUCGAGGACGACAUUCUUUUAAGGAGGGGAGUUUGUGACGCCCCGCGGCAGAAGAAAAGGGGAAAAAUUUCUGGUGAAUAGUGUUUUGUGGAGAAUCCGGCCAGAAGCCGUGCAAAUUCUUUAUAUUUUUCUUAAAAAUUCCCUUUUCUUUGACAAAUAUCACUUUAUAAUGGCCCUACUACUCAAUCACCCCACAAUAAGUGCCAAUGAACCUGGAAAGUAGGGUUUCACUUUUGGUUUCAAGAUUGGAGCAAAAUUAGGGUUUACGCGAUUUUCGCCGGAUGAAUUUUCGGUACGAAGCAAGGAUCAAAUUUGGUGAUCAAAAAUGACUUUUAAGUGAGAAAUAAUAUGUGAUUAGUAGCAAUGAUAUAAGGUUAGUGAAUGGGAAGUAAAAACCCUAAUACGUGUGUUUUUAAGAAAAACGGCGCGAACCGGCGGGUCCCGCGCACUACCGGUUGAACGCACCACUUGACCACCACUUUCUUACCAUACAAGCUUAUUGACUUUUGAGCAAAAUAUCUUCUUGUUUGGCAGCUGCUUUGACCGAAAAUUUGAGGCUAGAAAAUAGCAAGGAAGAAAGAGAAAAAUGAAAGGUGGUGGAGUUUCUUGGCCAAGUGAUUAACUAGCCUUCUUAAACCAAUUUUCUGCACUUUCCUCUUCAUUUUUCCAGCAGCUGGUCGACCAAGAGGGAGAGAGAAAGUGAGAGCAAGAAACAAUUCCUUCUUCUUGAUUCUAACCAACCAAGUGACAAAUUAAAUUUCUAAACCGAUUAAACUUACCUUUGAGUGAUUAGUUAGUGAUUGUUGAUGAAAUUUUGGAAAGAGAAAGCUUGGGCUACACUUGGUGAACUCUAAUCAAGGUAAGGAAGAUGAUAUCUCUAAAUUUUACUUUCAAUCUUGUUUAAAUUAAGCUUAGUAACUUGAUUUGUGGUGGAAUCAUGGAUGCUAUCAUGUUUUGGAAGUUUUUCCCUUUUUAUAUGAUGAACUAGGGUUUGAGGAAUUUCUGCCCAAUUUGGUGUAUGAUGCAUAUAUGUUGUAAUUAAGUUUAUAGAAGGGGUUUUGGUAGUGAUUGAAGUGAGAAAUUAAGGAAGAUUGCAUUAAAAACUAAAAAUUCCAGAUUUCUGGAAAUUCUUGCUUCCAUUCUGUCCGGUUUUGUAACUGUAUGUUGGAGGCCGAAUUGGCCUUAGGUCAAAGAAUAAAAGUUGUAUAGAAUGGUAUUUUAUAGGUGCUUACAAAAUUUCAGCUCAAUCGGAUCAACAUAGGUCAUGAAAAGUCCAAAAUACCCUUACUGUUUUAUGUUUUUCCCCAGCAGUCCGUGUGAUCCGUUUGUCCAGUUUAUCACGUUUUUUGACUGGGAUUCGUACUGAUUUAGCUUUUUACUAAAACAUGAAAGUUGUAGUAUUCCGACUUAGCUUUCAAAUUCCCCUAAGAACACCUGAUUCGGACUUUUGUACUCUGAGAUAUGACCAUUACAGGGUAAUGCGGUUAUAUAGCCGACGAAUUGGUUUCUGGUUUAGUAAUUUGAGGAUUUGACUAAGUUACAUUAGGAACUGGACUAAGUGACCUUCAUGAACAUUGUAGCUCUGUGUCUUAGCUUCGAAACGGCAUAGGUUACGCCUCAAUCCGAUAAGCGUAGCCUCGGAUAUGUUAUUUCCGCAUUCGUACGUCAAAUCUAUCUUGUGCUAAGUUGAAUUUCUGCACUUGUGAUUGUUGUGAAUCUUGUUUUUAUGAUAUUGUGAGCCUAUGGAAUGGCUCUUGGCUUGAAUUGUUUAUAUGUGUGAUGUUGGGUUGUGGUUGAAGAAAAAUAAUGAAGCCUAAAUGGCUGGAAAUUAGGUAAACACAAAGGGCAUGCUGUCCGAAUUGACACUCGAGGACUAGGAAAUGAGACUUGUAACUUGUGUAAAGGUUAAGUGAUUAUUACUUGAACUAGCAAGCACCUUUGCUACUUUGUUUAUCGAGGGUUAUACAUUAGGACUUGGCCGAACUUGCACCCUUGAGGAAAAGACAUAAUGGCCAAUGUAAACUUGUAUUUCCUUGUACUUUCAACUCAAGUGUUAUUUCCAAGUAUCCAUACUACAAAACCUUAUGAUUUGAAAAGCGAGCAAGUGUUUCACGAAUGCCUUUCAAAUGAAUUUCAAUUGGUUGAUUCUUAAUGAACGGAACGUUUAAGUUUCGAAUCUUACUCGUGUUUCAAAUUCUCAAAUUGGAUUUUUAUCGCAGAGCUGGACUUCAAACCUGGAGUAUAGUUGAACGUGAAUACUUGAAGCACUAUAUUUUGUGUGAGUGAUCCCUCGACUGUUCCCAAAGUUACUUUGAACUAAUUCUUGCAUUUAUUACUCCAUUGCAUAUCAUUUGGGGUUCGGGUGUGUGCCAUGACAUAAUUUGGCUCCAAUGAGUUCUUGGAAAGUCUUGUGCUUAGAACCAAUGUCUCAACUAUUGUUUACACAUUCUUUGGAGCCCGAUGGCUCCUUACCUCUGUUUCACAGUUACCUGAUCUAAACGAGCGUUGGAUAUUUAAGUACAAGAACUUCACUGGCUCACAUGAGCAAUAAAUGAACAUUUGAUUACUGCAUCAUGACAUCAUAUCAAUGCUUUAUUGUGAAACAUACUUGGCUGCUGAUUUUACUGGUCACUCGCUGAGCUUUUAGCUCACCCCCUAUUAUCUUCUUCUCCCCACAAGGAUCGAGGUAAAGGAAGAACUUGUAUUUGGAUCUUUGUGUGGCUGGAUGGCGUACAUCUUGUAUAGUUUAGAUUUGGUUUUGGUUUAUGUACCUUUGGGCCUGUAUAAAUAUUUGAAAUUGAAUCGAAUGUAUAUCUACAUUCUACGCUUAGAACUAGUUUCCGCUUCGCUUAUGAUAUGUAAAUUUGGAGAAUUGGAUGUAUUAUUUGAGUUGUACCUUGUAAUUUACUUGAGGAAUGUAGUAAGUGAGUGAGUCCCGGCGAGAGUUGGGCAGGCGGCCCGCCAAACCCUCUGGUACGCCUUAGGGGGAGGUGGGGUCGUCACAGCAUGCUGCCCAAAAUUUUAGGACUACGCGAUUCCUUCAAUUGAGUUGAUCUUAGUACAAAUGAAGGGUUUUGGGGUUGUUUGUAACCCUAGGACCAACUGUUAGUCAUAUUUUAUUCUUUUGUACUAGUACUUAACCUGGAAAGACGUACGACAUGAAGUCGAGCCUCACUUGUACAUUCCGUUUACUCGAUUUUGAAUGUGAAACCUUCAAUUGUUUUACUUUGAUGAUUUUAGGCUUUCUUGGCGAUUAAAACCAGUUUGAAGUGAAAACUUUUGAAGUAUUUGUACUUGAACCAGUGAGUGUACCACUCCCCUCAUUUGCUGUUUAACCUGGUUUCUGCCUCUGCAAUCUGCAAUUUAAAUAACUGCACUAUCUGUUUAUUCUGUUUGAGACGACGGUGUACUUUAACACACUCGUUCUCUUGUCUGUCCAUAUGCCUAUUUACUGUGUAUAAUCUGUUAACUGUAUCUGAAUCUGUUCGGACGUCGUUUGGAGGCUGGUAUCCAACGACCUUUCUGUGACCUCUGAGCUCAACACCUGUGGCUAGUUACUCAAGUCGGGCGGACAAGGGCCUGGUCGAUUAGAUAACGAACCACGGUAGUCUAUUUUGGGAUCUUUGGGUAUUGAGACUCUUGAUUCCGGUAUACUCGAAUAUUACUAUUACUGUUCCUGAAUGGAGUUCGGGGCCGGUAGGGGUAUGUUUGGUGGACGGAAAUUGGUGUAAAAUGUGGUCUACGGAUAUGUUGGGUCUAUUUACGUUGACGGAGAGUCAACGGGUUCGGAUCAAGUACUACAAAUGGAAAUCUGGCUCCUGAGAGCCACUUGUAUCCUUUCCCUUUGAAUCACUGUGUCCAAAUGCUUUCCUUUAUAUCUGGUAUAUGUAUCUGAUUGAUUAAACGUGAAAGGCCAUGAUUUUACCCCUAUAUGUUUGGUACCUCAUUGAGCGUAAACUCACCCAUUUCUGUUGCUUUUUAUUUUCCUUACAGGGGACAAACUUGGAAAUCACGAUUUUGGAAGAAAAGAGUCAAGCUAGUAUAUAUGUCAUGUUGUUAAACUCUUUUGAAAACGAAACCCUAAUUGUAUUUUAUGUAGUAAGAGUACCUCGGAUCGCACUGUAUGUUAAUUUGUUCAAGAGUUCAAUGUAAAUAUAUGUAUAAGUAUUUAACCUUAUCUAUUAAAUGUAUUCCGUUGAGACUGAUUUUAUGGCUUGGUAGGCAUGUUCUCACCUUAGUAGUUUCCGCGCGUACUAUGUUGGGUUUGUGUGAAUCGACUCCAUAGUCCUGGUAAGAGUUGGACAGGCGGUCCAUCGAAUCCUUUGGUUCGCCUUAGGGUUAGGUGCGGCUAUCACAGGUGGUAUCAGAGCCACUUCGCAUGGUCUCUGCGCGGAGUGAACUUGGGCCAAGUGGUGUUACGGUACUGAUUUCAUGAAUAUGUCUAAGUGCUCGUUUGAGCAUAAGUUAUGAACCGGGCAUGUUAUAAGUGUAAAAAUCUUUAUCAUGGAACUUGAGGAAGAUAGAUAUGUAUGUCGGGUAGGAAUCUAAAAUAUGGAUGAUUUACUCUUGGGACCAGCCGGCUCGAGUUGUGAAUUAUCUUAGAUGGAAUUCUUGCGCCCAGAUACGAAAGAGAUGAGAGCCUAGGUUAGAAAAGAUUUAAGCGAACUAGAAAUGCGAUUCUAUGGAACUUCGUGUGGUUUGUUCAGGGGUGGUUAAGCAUGAUCAAUCUUGAUUAAGAUAUAAAUGGUUUUGUUCUCGUAGAUUAUGGACGGAGCCCUAGAGGGGGAAAAGCUUUUCGUUAGUUAUUUUUGUACUUGUGACCUAGCCUGUCUGUAGUACUUUUGGAUGACCCCGCUAUUUUCAUGGAUCUCUCAUAUUUGUAUCUAAUUGACUGCUACUGUGUGACUGGUUCGGUACAGUUGUGUAUAUAUAUGCUUUUGAUCUGUAUGUACCUCUUGUUAUUUGCUUAUGCCUAUAAUUAUCUUUAACAUUAUCCUUGCACCUCGACCCUAGAUUGAUUUAGAUCAAUGGAGGGCACUCGUAGUGGACGAGUCCGUGGGCAUGGAAUUAGGCAACCCACGUCUGAAAGGGGCACUGGGGAAAUCUCGUUCGGACCAAACCCUGAACCUAGGGUUGAUCCCAACGUCCAAAUAGCUACUGCCAUUCAGCAAAUGACUGAUUUGCUAGCUCAAGUGGUGCACCAACAGGGUCACAACCCUAACCCCAACCCUGGGAACCCUGGUAAUCACGUGGAGAGCGAGGACCGGGCCCUCAAGAGGUUCCAGAAGUUUGCCCCACCAAAGUUUAUUGGGGGACCUGAUCCAGAUGUAGUCGAAAGGUGGCUAGAGAAAAUGGUGGAUAUCUUUGCUGCCCUGCACUACACGGAGGAACGGCAGGUGACUUUUGCUGUUUUCUAGUUGGAAGAGGCGGCCCGUUCCUGGUGGAACGUAAUACGACAAAAGUGGGACCGAGAGCAAACGCCCAAGAUUUGGGUGAACUUUAUGCGGGAGUUCAACACUAAAUUCUUCCCUCCUCUAGUUCAGGAAUAAAAGGAUGAUGAAUUUAUCCGACUUCGUCAAGGGAUCCAGACAGUGGCCGAGUACGAGAGCCAAUUCACUCGGCUGUCCAAAUUCGUGCCCGAACUCAUCGUGAUCGAGCAACGAAGAAUACGGCGAUUCGUCCAGGGUCUAAACGUGGAGAUCCAGAAAGAUCUAGCCGUAGACCAAAUUAACGCCUUCAGCGAUGCCGUAGAGAAGGCGCAACGAGUAGAGAAUGCUAGGCUGCAGGUAAAAAACUUCCAAGCCAAGAAAAGGGGCUUUCCUGGGAGUAGCUCUGAGCAAGAAGGUACAAGUACGCCUCCUAAGAUUGGAAAGGGAAACGGGGGAGUACGACAACCAGGGGUGUCACGUGAUGUCUCUCAGGGGGGACCGGUCUCUGCUACUCGUGGUCCCUGUGGAUAUUGCGGAGGACUAAAUCAUACGGAGGCAAAUUAUUGGAAGAAAGAGAGAAAAUGUCUGCACUGUGGAAGUACCGAUCAUCGGAUUGUUGACUGCCCAGUUCGAUUGCGAAAAGGAAAAGGGACUCCGCAACCAACUAAGACUAACCCUGGACAGUCGGAAAAGGAAGGGACUGGAUUAAAGGUACCGGCUCGGGUAUAUUCUUUAGAGCACCAUCAAGUUCCUGACUCGUCAGAGGACGUAGAAGGUACGAUCCAUUGGGUACCUUAGAUUUUGAAAGAUUCCGUUGAUAAGAAAAUUUCGAGGACAAAAUUUCUUUAAGGGGGAGAGAGUGUGAGAACCGGUAAUUUUCUUAAUUGCUAGGUUUUACUUUCUUUUAAUUGCACGCUUUUUCACAUUUUAUUUAUUCAAAAAAUUGUGAAAAUAAUUUUUAUGAGUAAAGAUGGUUUUGAAAUCAUUUUUUCCGAGUAUAAGUUAGUUUAUAAGAUUUUAAGAGUGUAUAUCGGAUGUGGGACCCACUAGUGCGGUAAGUUCGAUAAAAUUCGGCCAAUUAGAUUAAGUUUUGUAUACAGGAAUUAAUUUACUAGGUGUUAGUAAGAUAAGGGAAAGAAUUGGAGGAUAGGAACAUGAUUUGGCAAAGAUUAGUGAGAGAAUGGCAAAGAUGGUGCCAAGUGGCAAGACACCAACCAUGUAACUUAUUUGACCAAAGAAUUUGAUGAAUUAAAACCAUUUUUUUUUUUUGCUCCAUUUCCUUCAUAAGCUGGCCGGCCAUCUUGGAGCAGGAAAGGAGAAGAAGAAACUCCAUUUUCUUGCUUUUUACUCCUAGUUUAAUCUUAGGGAAAAAAAAAUCAAAAGUGAAGGAGUGAGUUAGUGAGUGAAAUCCAUCCAACUCUAGUGUGUGAUCUUCAAGCCUUGAAGCUUUUGGUUGGUGGUUGUUUUGGGUGCCUUAAUCAACUUGUAAGAGAGGUAUGUGAUCUUUAAUCCUUGCUUUUAUGGUGUUAUAUUAAGUAUUUAAAGGUUUGAGGGUAAACUAGAAGUUGUACGGACGCUUCCUAUGGCUAAAUCUCUUGAAUUAGUGAAGUGGUAGUUGGGUUGGUUAAGUGGCCUACCAUGUGUUUGAUUAAUUGUUAAAGCUUUGAUUCAUGGUUUUAGUUAGAGUUAACACUUGGUAUGUUGGUUAAGAGGAAAACAAUGAAAGGAUGAAGCAAGAAAAGUAGUGGUAUGCACUAAUAGCCCAAAUUUCAGAUUUCUGGAAAUUCAAACUUCAGUUCUGCCCGGUUCCAGUUCUUGAUGUUAGAGGCCGAAUUAGGCUUAGCACAAAACAUGAAAGUUUUAGAGAAUGAUGUUUUCUAGUUGCCUGAAAAAUUUUAGCCCAAUCAGAGUAACGUAGCCUGUGAAAAAACUGAAAUACCCUUGCUUCCCUGUUUCUGUCCGAAACUGAUAAUCAGCUUCUGUAAUUGGUUAGUUUGACCGGGAAUACUACUGAUUUGGUUGUCGAUGUCUUCUUAAGAAUUAUAGACUUGUAUCUUAGCUUUCAAAUGGCUUUGGAAUUACCUGAAUCGAAGUUGUGUGUGCUGAGAUAUGCUUGAAUGAAUCAGGACUGCUAGUGGAAUUUCACAGUGAGCUUUGAACUGGAAAAUCUGGAGUUGUUUUGGUACCUUUGACCUAGUUAGGAUGAGAACUAGACUAAGUGGUCUUCAUCAAAGUUAUAUCCCUCUGUCUUAGUUUCGAAACGGUAUAACUUGUGCUUCAAUCCAAUAAGCGUAGUUUCGGUUAGGUCCGAUACGCUAAGUAGCGGUGAAUCUGCCUUUUUGGUUUCCUAGCUUAAAGCUCAUUUCCGGUCAUUUUCCUAGCUAAAUCUUGUACUUGAAUGACUUUGAGCCUAUUGAACGGCUGUUGUGAUGAAUUUAUAUUGCGUAGGACUUUGGGAUUGAUUGAGGGAAAUAAUGAAGUUAUAAGUGGUUGGGAAAAUAGGUAAAUACAAAGGGCAUGCUAUGAAUUUUCCCUCAGUCACACGCGGCUUUUAUCUUUUGACUAACAUAACUAUGAAGAAUUUUUCAAGUGUUGGGAAUUCAAGGAUCAUAAAAAAGUGUUUCCUCCAAAAAAAAAAGGGGAACAUAAACUAGUGCAAGAAAUUAGACAAUUUCCUCACGUUUUAAAAUGCUACUUGCCGUCAGAAUAUGUGGAUAAAUUUUAUUUACAACUAAUUUAACUUUAAUAAACAAAUCGAAGUUGUUGAAUAAUUGAAACAAUUUGUAAUAUAGGUAGAAGCUUUCUUGCUUAUUUUUCUUCAAGUCAAGCCACGACCAGAUGGAAGCUUCUUACAAUUACGACUACGCGACUAGAUCAAUUAGUGGUCCAAGUCUUCAACUGUGUCUCUCUUGACCAAGUCAUGCAAGAUUGAUUCAUCAGCAUUCAAUUCAACUCAACAACGUGAAGACUAAGGAAACUAAUGUACUUGACAUUAUAUAAAAGAACAAGCACGUUUUUUUAAUAAAAUAAACAAAAAAGAGCACGUUUCUAAAUGAGAAACUACCUAAGCUGUAUCCCUAAAGUCAACUAGGAAAUUAAUAAAUCGUCAUUAGUGAUGAAAGUGAAGGCAAAUAGCUAAGAAAAAUAAUGUUUUUUUUUUCUUCCGAAUCCCAAAGAGCUUACGUCAAUUUUUACAAAUCUAAACCCGAGGAAACCCCAAAAGCUUAUGAAAAAUAAUGUUCUAAAUAACCAAAAAAUGUCCUAUACAGAAUCAUUUCGAGAUACUAUAAUCUCAUGCUGUUAACCCUAAAAUAUAAUGAAACCACCAAAAUUAGUGAGCAGGUUAUAUAAUCUUUUGCCUCUAUUUUAUUAAGUUCUACCAAUUGGCAUAAAUAAUGGGUGGUGUAUGAAUUGAAGAAGGGCAUGCACGUCGUUCACUUUCUAUACGGGUGACAUUUGAAUAAUCACAAGCUUGUUUGCUGCUGCCAAAUGGGAAUUGGCUGGUGACAACAAUAGAAUUGAAUAGUAACAGUAGCAGUAAAGAUGAUGAAAUACCAAGAAGAUGAUGAUCCAUUGGAAUUUUUUGGUAACUGUUUAUCUGAUAAAGAGAGCUCAGAUGGGUGGUUUUAUUUACGUAAGUUAUGAAACCAUCACUUUAUAGAGUUUCUUUCUGUGCUUGCAGAAACUCUAUUAAGGUGAUAAAACGAGGACGAAGACGGUGGCUGCUUGAAGUUUUCAUGGAAAAAAAACUUGUGGACGUGCUGGAUGGGGUGGUAUUGUGGCAACUAGCAAUGUCCACUUGUCAACCAAAACCUUGACAGCGUGAAAAUUCCUUGGGUUCUUGUGGGAAAGACCUUGGAGACACAUACUCAGAUACGGGGUUGUGAGUAAUAACCGUUUAAAAUAAUGUAAUAUUUUUUAAACAAAGUGUAAUUUUAUAUGAAUUAUUUGUAAAAUUUAAUAGCAGAAACACAAUUAUUACAUAUAGAAUUCACAUAAACAGUAACAGAAUAUCACACAUCUAUUAUAAGAAUGUACAAGAAGUUAAUAUAGUAUUACAAACCAUUUAAAAAUGUUACACUAUUCAGGAUAUCAACAGUCCCUGCCCUGCGUUCGUACAUGCUCCAUAAAUGGACAUUUUAAUUCAUUAAAUUUGGGUUUCAAAUUGAUUUGGUUGCCUAUGUUACACAAUAAUCAGUUCUGACCCUAUCUUUUGCAAUUGAUAUCAAUUCGUGAU